GAUGAACGCUGGCGGCGUGCCUAACACAUGCAAGUCGAACGGAAAGGCCCUGAGUUUGUGCGGUUCUCGAUUGCCGAACGCGUGAGUAUCACGUGUGUAACCUGCCCUUGUCUUUGGGAGAACAUCACGAAACUGGGGCUAAUAUAGGAUAGGAUAUCCUGCUCCGUGGUGGGCGUUGGAAAGUUUCGGCCGUUGGGGAUGGACUCGCGGCUUAUGAGCUUGUUGGUGGGGUAGUGGCUGACCCAGCCUGUGAAGGGUACCCGGCCUGAGAGGGUGGACGGCGACCUUGGGACUGCGGGAGGGCGCAGACUGCUACGUGGGGCAGCAGUGGGGAGUCUUGCACAGUGGGCGGAAGCGUGAUGCAAAGACGCUGCGUGCGGGAUGACGGCUUUCGGGUUGUAAACCGCUUUCGCCUGUGACGAAGCGUGAGUGACGGUAAUGGGUAAAGAAGCACCGGCUAACUACGUG
Molecule: ribosomal RNA, 468 nt
Filed under: uncultured bacterium
Lineage: Bacteria
Description: partial 16S ribosomal RNA
Rfam family: Bacterial small subunit ribosomal RNA
Source: RNAcentral